ACUCCUACGGGAGGCAGCAGUAGGGAAUCUUCCACAAUGGGCGCAAGCCUGAUGGAGCAACACCGCGUGAGUGAAGAAGGGUUUCGGCUCGUAAAGCUCUGUUGUUAAAGAAGAACACGUAUGAGAGUAACUGUUCAUACGUUGACGGUAUUUAACCAGAAAGUCACGGCUAACUACGUGCCAGCAGCCGCGGUAAUACGUAGGUGGCAAGCGUUAUCCGGAUUUAUUGGGCGUAAAGAGAGUGCAGGCGGUCUUCUAAGUCUGAUGUGAAAGCCUUCGGCUUAACCGGAGAAGUGCAUCGGAAACUGGAUAACUUGAGUGCAGAAGAGGGUAGUGGAACUCCAUGUGUAGCGGUGGAAUGCGUAGAUAUAUGGAAGAACACCAGUGGCGAAGGCGGCUACCUGGUCUGCAACUGACGCUGAGACUCGAAAGCAUGGGUAGCGAACAGGAUUAGAUACCCUGGUAGGAUAGCG
Molecule: ribosomal RNA, 473 nt
Filed under: uncultured bacterium
Lineage: Bacteria
Description: bacterial SSU rRNA
Rfam family: Bacterial small subunit ribosomal RNA
Source: RNAcentral